This is a non-coding RNA of Dama dama (fallow deer), 71 nucleotides long. The record is from the annotation of a RefSeq genome assembly. Lineage: Eukaryota; Metazoa; Chordata; Mammalia; Artiodactyla; Cervidae.
UCAUAGGUGGUUCAGUGGUAGAAUUCUCGCCUGUCAUGCGGGAGGCCUGGGUUCGUCUCCCAGCCCAUGCA